RNAcentral lists this ribosomal RNA (505 nucleotides) under uncultured Glomus. RNAcentral describes it as "SSU rRNA". It matches the Rfam family "Eukaryotic small subunit ribosomal RNA", at positions 569 to 1077 of the family's 1831-position model. The record is from RNAcentral. Lineage: Eukaryota; Fungi; Glomeromycota; Glomeromycetes; Glomerales; Glomeraceae.
AGCAGCCGCGGUAAUUCCAGCUCCAAUAGCGUAUAUUAAAGUUGUUGCAGUUAAAAAGCUCGUAGUUGAAUUUCGGGAUCAGAUUGUUGGUCGUGCCUCGGUACGCACUGGCAUUAUUGGUUCCUACCUUCUGAAGAACCGCGAUGUCAUUAAUUUGGUGUCGUGGGGAAUCAGGACUGUUACUUUGAAAAAUUAGAGUGUUUAAAGCAGGCGCACGCUUGAAUACAUUAGCAUGGAAUAAUGAAAUAGGACGUUUGAUUCUAUUUUGUUGGUUUCUAGGAUCGACGUAAUGAUUAAUAGGGAUAGUUGGGGGCAUUAGUAUUCAAUUGUCAGAGGUGAAAUUCUUGGAUUUAUUGAAGACUAACUACUGCGAAAGCAUUUGCCAAGGAUGUUUUCAUUAAUCAAGAACGAAAGUUAGGGGAUCGAAGACGAUCAGAUACCGUCGUAGUCUUAACCAUAAACUAAUGCCGACUAGGGAUCGGAUGAUGUUAAUUUUAAUGUACUC